RNAcentral lists this unclassified non-coding RNA (317 nucleotides) under Hevea brasiliensis (rubber tree). The record is from RNAcentral. Lineage: Eukaryota; Viridiplantae; Streptophyta; Magnoliopsida; Malpighiales; Euphorbiaceae.
AAAAAGGGAGGGAAGAAGAAAAAAAUAAUAACAAUUGGUAUCUUCAGCGACUAUUGAAGGAAACAAUGAGAAAAGUCACAGUAAAAAGUGGAGCAAGUACAACAGGCAAAGGAAAAAAAAAAAACUAAAAAACUAAGAAUUAUUAAAGAAAAGACAAACUUAAGCUUUUUCAGACAAGAAGGUCUUUGCGUCUAUUAUUUUGGGCACAUCAAGGCCAGAUUAAAUACAAAUAAUCAAUAAUAAAAUAUUUAUUUUAAGAAAAAUAUUCAAAAUCAAAUAAAGAAAAAGCUGAAACAUUAAACCCGCCAAUUCCUAGA